RNAcentral lists this ribosomal RNA (235 nucleotides) under uncultured bacterium. Its description in RNAcentral is "partial 16S ribosomal RNA". It matches the Rfam family "Bacterial small subunit ribosomal RNA", at positions 96 to 334 of the family's 1533-position model. The record is from RNAcentral.
UGGCGGACGGGUGAGUAAUGUCUGGGAAACUGCCCGAUGGAGGGGGAUAACUACUGGAAACGGUAGCUAAUACCGCAUAACGUCGCAAGACCAAAGAGGGGGACCUUAGGGCCUCUUGCCAUCGGAUGUGCCCAGAUGGGAUUAGCUUGUAGGUAAGGUAACGGCUUACCUAGGCGACGAUCCCUAGCUGGUCUGAGAGGAUGACCAGCCACACUGGAACUGAGACACGGUCCAG